Molecule: ribosomal RNA, 443 nt
Filed under: uncultured bacterium
Lineage: Bacteria
Description: partial 16S ribosomal RNA
Rfam family: Bacterial small subunit ribosomal RNA
Source: RNAcentral
CCUACGGGUGGCAGCAGUGGGGAAUAUUGGGCAAUGGAGGCAACGCUGAACCAGCAACGCCGCGUGAGUGAUGAAGGUCUUCGGAUUGUAAAGCUCUUUAAGCGGGGACGAAGAAAGUGACUGUACCCGCAGAAUAAGCCUCCGCUAACUAAGGGCCAGCAGCCGCGGUAAUACGUAGGAGGCAAGCGUUAUCCGGAAUGACUGGGGGUAAAGGGUGCGUAGGUGGUUUGGCAAGGUGGGAGCGAAAUCCCGGGGGUUAACCUCGGUGCUGCUACCAAAACUGUUGAACUUGAGUGCAGGAGAGGUAAGUGGAAGGCGCAGGGUAGCGGUGAAAUGCGUAGAUAUUGGGAAGAACACCAGGGGCGAAGGCGGUUCACUGGACUGUAACUGACGCUGAGGCACGAAAGCGUGGGGAGCAAACAGGAUUAGAUACCCUGGUAGUC